RNAcentral lists this long non-coding RNA (320 nucleotides) under Elaeis guineensis (African oil palm). RNAcentral describes it as "long non-coding RNA (EGUI_LNC059366)". Lineage: Eukaryota; Viridiplantae; Streptophyta; Magnoliopsida; Arecales; Arecaceae. The record is from RNAcentral.
AUGACUGAUGUAGAAUCCUACAUGUUUGAAACUCAGUGAUCGAGAAUCAAGAUUCUCUGAUCACGAGUUCCACACAUUAUGGGUACCGGGGUCAAGAGUCCCACUGGUUGGGAUUUUUCGAUCAGGUUUACAUAUCGAUGAAUUCUGAUGCCUGAUUGCCCAUCGAAUUUGGACUUAGUAUUUAUGAGAGGUUUAAUUAGUGAUUUGAUCACUAAUUACCUCAAUUUGAUUGAGUAAUUAUUUUUGAAUCAAGUCUAAUUGAAUUGGAUUCAGUUGGGUUUGAUCCGAUUAGGUUAAGAGUUGACCUAAUCGUCGAGAUG